AAGCCAGGGACCUCCGGAGUUCCCUUGGUUUCAUUUUGUGAUUGUUUCAUCUCGGUAACUGACGCUCAUUUUGAUUUUUUUCAGACGUGGCCAUUCGUGGUCUCUGGACGCCCAGACUCUGAUACCAAAGAUGUUUCUGCAGCCAACAGGCUUUGUGGAACUUCAGCUUAGAUGGACAGCAACACUGCUGGAUGGAUUGUGUUAAAUGCAAAGGACUGGGCCAAGGAAGUCCCAUCGAUUCCGGACCUUCUCCUUUCCCUGUGUUUGUGAACAAGACAGGUGACAAGUGUGGUUGCCCUCCUGGAACACAGGUGGCCAUGGCUACUUGAAUCAGUUCAAAAACCUGUAGCCAAAGAGAGCCCAGUUUUGGGGAAAGGGGAUAUCUGGGGAUUCAGCUCCUUCCCACCCACACUGUCCCUGAAGUCUUUUCUUACUGCCUAUUUGGGGAUACACACUUCACCCCUGUAAUCAGGUCACCAUGCCACAGCACAGCUUCUGUUUUUCCAGGGUUGCACUGUUCUUCCUGGUCCAAGGACUGCACAUGAUGGGCAGCUGGGGCUGGGGCUGGGGCUGGGGCUGGAGCUGGUCUCUAUUAUACUGGUUUCUACCCAGUGCAUGGUGCUUAGUGGUCCUGGCAAUGCUGCAGUACCAUGGUAACUAACAUAUGUAAAUAAAUUUAUUUUUUUAUGAAC
This 692-nucleotide long non-coding RNA is filed under the name Rattus norvegicus (Norway rat). RNAcentral's name for it is "long non-coding RNA NONRATT022018". Lineage: Eukaryota; Metazoa; Chordata; Mammalia; Rodentia; Muridae. The record is from RNAcentral.